UCUUAGUGUGUAUGCCUUGCUGCUAU
This 26-nucleotide non-coding RNA is filed under the name Rattus norvegicus (Norway rat). The record is from RNAcentral. Lineage: Eukaryota; Metazoa; Chordata; Mammalia; Rodentia; Muridae.